RNAcentral lists this ribosomal RNA (250 nucleotides) under uncultured bacterium. RNAcentral describes it as "partial 16S ribosomal RNA". It matches the Rfam family "Bacterial small subunit ribosomal RNA", at positions 524 to 773 of the family's 1533-position model. The record is from RNAcentral.
UACGAGGGGGGCAAAUGUUGUUCGGAAUCACUGGGCGUAAAGGGAGCGUAGGCGGGUUUUUAAGUCAGGUGUUUAAUCCCGGGGCCCAACCCCGGACCGGCACUUGAAACUGGAAAUCUUGAAUAGUGGAGAGGUCAGUGGAAUUGGGGGUGUAGCGGUGGAAUGCGUAGAGAUCCCCAAGAACACCAGUUGCGAAGGCGGCUGACUGGACACAUAUUGACGCUGAGGCUCGAAAGCAUGGGGAGCAAAC